UUUCCCCUUGAACGAGGAAUUCCUAGUAAGCACAAGUCAUCAGCUUGUGCUGAUUACGUCCCUGCAAAAUGUACACAUCGCCCGUCGCUUGCUCCGAUUGAGUAAUCUGGUGAGCCUUCUUGACUGAGAUAGCAAUAUUUUGGAAAAUUAAGCAAACCAUAUUACUUAGAGGAUGAAGAAGUCGUAACAAAGUUUCCGUAGGUGAACCUGCGGAAGG
Molecule: ribosomal RNA, 217 nt
Filed under: Vorticella campanula
Lineage: Eukaryota; Ciliophora; Oligohymenophorea; Sessilida; Vorticellidae
Description: partial 18S ribosomal RNA
Rfam family: Eukaryotic small subunit ribosomal RNA
Source: RNAcentral